This 995-nucleotide ribosomal RNA is filed under the name uncultured bacterium. Its description in RNAcentral is "bacterial SSU rRNA". It matches the Rfam family "Bacterial small subunit ribosomal RNA", at positions 28 to 1017 of the family's 1533-position model. The record is from RNAcentral.
AUUGAACGCUGGCGGCAGGCUUAACACAUGCAAGUCGAGCGGGGAUUGGGUGCUUGCACCUAAUCUUAGCGGCGGACGGGUGAGUAAUGCUUAGGAAUCUGCCAUUUAGUGGGGGACAACAUUCCGAAAGGGAUGCUAAUACCGCAUACGCCCUACGGGGGGAAGCAGGGGAUCUUCGGACCUUGCGCUAAAUGAUGAGCCUAAGUCGGAUUAGCUAGUUGGUGGGGUAAAGGCCUACCAAGGCGACGAUCUGUAGCGGGUCUGAGAGGAUGAUCCGCCACACUGGGACUGAGACACGGCCCAGACUCCUACGGGAGGCAGCAGUGGGGAAUAUUGGACAAUGGGCGGAAGCCUGAUCCAGCCAUGCCGCGUGUGUGAAGAAGGCCUUUUGGUUGUAAAGCACUUUAAGCGAGGAGGAGGCUACCUGGAUUAAUACUCUAGGAUAGUGGACGUUACUCGCAGAAUAAGCACCGGCUAACUCUGUGCCAGCAGCCGCGGUAAUACAGAGGGUGCGAGCGUUAAUCGGAUUUACUGGGCGUAAAGCGUGCGUAGGCGGCUGAUUAAGUCGGAUGUGAAAUCCCUGAGCUUAACUUAGGAAUUGCAUUCGAUACUGGUCAGCUAGAGUAUGGGAGAGGAUGGUAGAAUUCCAGGUGUAGCGGUGAAAUGCGUAGAGAUCUGGAGGAAUACCGAUGGCGAAGGCAGCCAUCUGGCCUAAUACUGACGCUGAGGUACGAAAGCAUGGGGAGCAAACAGGAUUAGAUACCCUGGUAGUCCAUGCCGUAAACGAUGUCUACUAGCCGUUGGGGCCUUUGAGGCUUUAGUGGCGCAGCUAACGCGAUAAGUAGACCGCCUGGGGAGUACGGUCGCAAGACUAAAACUCAAAUGAAUUGACGGGGGCCCGCACAAGCGGUGGAGCAUGUGGUUUAAUUCGAUGCAACGCGAAGAACCUUACCUGGCCUUGACAUAGUAGAAACUUUCCAGAGAUGGAUUGGUGC